RNAcentral lists this transfer RNA (91 nucleotides) under Mycolicibacterium confluentis. RNAcentral describes it as "tRNA-Ala". Lineage: Bacteria; Bacillati; Actinomycetota; Actinomycetes; Mycobacteriales; Mycobacteriaceae. The record is from RNAcentral.
GACCGGUGGCGCAGGUGGCGCAGGUGGCGCUGGCGGCAGCGCGGUCAGUGGUUCGGCGGGCGACAACGGUUCCGGUGGCGCUGGCGGUCAC